CAAUAGCGUAUAUUGAAGUUGUUGCAGUUAAAAAGCUCGUAGUUGAAUUUCUGGCGGGCGCGCCGGUCUUCCAAGUGUUGUACUGGGCGCAGUCCGCCAUCCUUGUGGAGAGGGCUCGCAUUGAGUUGCGUGUCGGAUCUGCAUCAUUUACUGUGAAAAAAUUAGAGUGUUUAAAGCAGGCUGUCGCUUGAAUACAUUAGCAUGGAAUAAUAAGAUAGGACUUCGGUCUAUUUUGUUGGUUGCGAACCGAGGUAAUGAUUAAUAGGGAUAGUUGGGGGUAUUCAUAUUUAAUUGUCAGAGGUGAAAUUCUUGGAUUUAUGAAAGAUGAACAACUGCGAAAGCAUUUACCAAGGAUGUUUUCAUUAA
Molecule: ribosomal RNA, 366 nt
Filed under: uncultured eukaryote
Lineage: Eukaryota
Description: partial 18S ribosomal RNA
Rfam family: Eukaryotic small subunit ribosomal RNA
Source: RNAcentral